Molecule: ribosomal RNA, 492 nt
Filed under: uncultured bacterium
Lineage: Bacteria
Description: bacterial SSU rRNA
Rfam family: Bacterial small subunit ribosomal RNA
Source: RNAcentral
GAUCAUGGCUCAGGACGAACGCUGGCGGCGUGCUUAACACAUGCAAGUCGAACGGAGUUUCUUGGAUCAAGACUUCGGUCAAGUGAAUGGAAACUUAGUGGCGGACUGGUGAGUAACGCGUGAGGAACCUGCCUUUCAGUGGGGGACAACAGUUGGAAACGACUGCUAAUACCGCAUAAUGUUAUUUAAGGGCAUCCUUGAAUAACCAAAGCUUUAUGUGCUGAAAGAUGGUCUCGCGUCUGAUUAGCUAGAUGGCGGGGUAACGGCCCACCAAGUCGACGAUCGGUAGCCGGACUGAGAGGUUGAACGGCCACAUUGGGACUGAGACACGGCCCAGACUCCUACGGGAGGCAGCAGUGGGGAAUAUUGCACAAUGGAGGAAACUCUGAUGCAGCGACGCCGCGUGAGGGAAGAAGGUUUUCGGAUUGUAAACCUCUGUCUUCGGGGACGAUAAUGACGGUACCCGAGGAGGAAGCACCGGCUAACUACGUG